This 375-nucleotide transfer-messenger RNA is filed under the name Candidatus Haliotispira prima. RNAcentral describes it as "Spirochaetaceae bacterium SP-2023 transfer-messenger RNA". It matches the Rfam family "transfer-messenger RNA". Rfam says of the family: Bacterial tmRNA, also known as 10Sa RNA or SsrA, is named for its dual tRNA and mRNA-like properties. Its role is to liberate the mRNA from a stalled ribosome. The record is from RNAcentral. Lineage: Bacteria; Pseudomonadati; Spirochaetota; Spirochaetia; Spirochaetales; Spirochaetaceae.
GGGGGUGUACCGGAUUCGACCGGAGGAUUUCGGUGGGUGGACGGCAGGUGGAGCGUAACUCCUAAAACUGCAAAUUCUUUAGUUGCCAAAAAAGAAGAAGAAUUCGAACUCGACGUUGUUGAGUUCGAAGAAUUGGCACUGGCAGCUUAGCUGCCACGAGCUCCGGGAAUGCUGCUUCGAAGUCCCGAUAGCUUGUUAGAAACCGAGGCUUGCUGUUGUGUUUGCAUUGUGACAUAGCGGGACUUUCAGCAGUGCUGGCAAGGACGGAGCGUGUUACCUCUUCUCUGUUCUUGUGAGAUUUGAUAGGUGACUAAACCUGUAGAAGUUCAUUUGUCGCCCUUUGGGACGCGGGUUCGACUCCCGCCACCUCCAUAG